UGGCGGGGGCGGGUGCCUAUACAUGCAGUCGAGCGGAACCGGUGGAGCUUGCUCCAUUGGUUUAGCGGCGGACGGGUGAGUAACACGUGGGCAACCUGCCCUGCAGAUCGGGAUAACUCCGGGAAACCGGUGCUAAUACCGAAUAGUUUGCGGCCUCUCAUGAGGCUGCACGGAAAGACGGUUUCGGCUGUCACUGCAGGAUGGGCCCGCGGCGCAUUAGCUAGUUGGUGGGGUAACGGCCCACCAAGGCGACGAUGCGUAGCCGACCUGAGAGGGUGAUCGGCCACACUGGGACUGAGACACGGCCCAGACUCCUACGGGAGGCAGCAGUAGGGAAUCUUCCGCAAUGGACGAAAGUCUGACGGAGCAACGCCGCGUGAGUGAAGAAGGUUUUCGGAUCGUAAAACUCUGUUGUGAGGGAAGAACAAGUACCACCUAACUACUGGUACCUUGACGGUACCUCACCAGAAAGCCACGGCUAACUACGUGCCAGCAGCCGCGGUAAU
This 506-nucleotide ribosomal RNA is filed under the name Planococcus plakortidis. RNAcentral describes it as "bacterial SSU rRNA". It matches the Rfam family "Bacterial small subunit ribosomal RNA", at positions 34 to 524 of the family's 1533-position model. The record is from RNAcentral. Lineage: Bacteria; Bacillati; Bacillota; Bacilli; Caryophanales; Caryophanaceae.